RNAcentral lists this long non-coding RNA (1677 nucleotides) under Pongo abelii (Sumatran orangutan). Its description in RNAcentral is "lincRNA". Lineage: Eukaryota; Metazoa; Chordata; Mammalia; Primates; Hominidae. The record is from RNAcentral.
AUUUUUUAAAAUAGAAAUGGAGUAAAUGAUAAAAUGUAGACUGAAUUUAUCAUAAAGACAUUCCCUUUUGGUAUAUUGCAAGGAACUAUGAACUUUUAGUAACUACUAUAAGCAACUGACAGGAAAAAAUGGCAACAGAAGAAUGAAAGAGGAGAGAAUGGGGAGCAGACACUAAGGUGUAGUGAAAGGAGGAAAAUGAAGGCUAAGUCUAAUGAUGUGAAUCCUAUUUGCAAUUCCAUCAAAGGAGGGAACUUCCUACUGACCGGAAGACCUGAACAGCCUGAGCCCUUUCAACUCCGAGAGAAGAAGCUGCAGAUGAAGAGCAAUCCUGGGAUACAUGUGCAGAAUGUGCAAGUUUGUUACAUAGGUACGCACGUACCAUGGUGGUUUGCUGCACCCAUCAACUCGUCAUCUACAUUAGGAUACUGUUUACUGAAAACCCAUCAAUCUGAUCUUUUAUGAGAAGCUAGUCCCUGAAAAGGCCCUUGGACCAAAAAGUCGAAAACUCAAAGCACAGAGUGGGAUGUCAGAUGCCAAGAUUCAAAUCUAGUCAUUUGAUUCCAGAGCCCACAUUCUUAAAUAAUAUGCUACACUGAACUUUAUUAUCUUUAAACAUUAUCUUUAUUUAAUGUGUUCCACAGAAAUUACUUCUCAGGUAUUCCUAAUUUUAUUUUCAAAAAUAAUAAGGUCAUGCUAUCAGUAUAAUAUAGUUUUUUAAAUUAACUUGAGAGGUAAUGUAGUAUGAUCAACUUCGUUAAUGGCCUUUUAAACUAGAAAUAAUUAUUAAAUAUUUUUAAUAUUAUAAAUUAACAGGCAAAAUGGUGAAAAAUCUAACAUCUGGUUCUUAAAAGUAAGUUGAAAUAUAAGAUCAGAUCUGAAUGCAAACGGAAAAAUAGAAAUGGCAAAUAAUGCCAUAUUUGAAGAUCUUUUAGUAUUCUCUGGUAUUUUUCCCUUCAUUUCAAAAUUGUUAUAUUCUUUUUAAUGACUUCAGAUGAAUUAGGAAAUGUCAGGCUUCUAAAAAUCAAACAGAACGUCCAACCAGUAGAUUUCAUUCAGGGCAGUGGGAGCCUGUUCGGUUGUUUCCUCUUUCUCCCUCACUUUUAAAAAUCCUCAAUCACUGCCAUUUCUCUUCUCAGCUUUCACAACACUUUAGAGGCAGCUAAAUGAAAGGGCAGAAGCUUCCUCUGAAACUCCUGUUAUUUCAGCUCUAAAAUCAGCUGAAAAGGAUGCCCUCCCCAGAGACAGAAAUGCAUUCCUUCCAUCAUGAACCUGCAAUGCCCUCAGGUUGUGGCAAGGGAGAAGUUUAGCACUUGAACCUAGAUAAUGCUAUUUUUUUAAUCAAAGUCCACCAUUCUUGUUUCAUAUGGCCUGUGGCACAAUUUAUUUAAAACAAUAUGGUGCAUCAAAGAAGGUAAACAAUAAUAACAAUAAUAAUAAUAAUAAUAUAGGAAUAGCAAUGUGCACAUAAAUAAUAUAGGAAAACACAUGGCCUCAGUACCUUCAUGAAAUGGGACUUCAAUAUACAUAUUUCUUAUACAGCUUUAUGCAUGACUUCAUUUCUAUGGUUUGCACUUCACUGCUCUGUUGUGUCACUCUACCAAUAAGCCUAUACAUCAUACUGAGUGAAAUAUGUUCACAGUCGCUUUACUUGACCAAAAAAAAAAAAAGAAAGAAGAA